UACAGAGGUCUCAAGCGUUGUUCGGAUUCAUUGGGCGUAGAGGGUGCGUAGGCGGCGCGGUAAGUCGGGUGUGAAAUCUCGGAGCUUAACUCCGAAACUGCAUUCGAUACUGCCGUGCUUGAGGACUGGAGAGGAGACUGGAAUUUACGGUGUAGCGGUGAAAUGCGUAGAUAUCGUAAGGAAGACCAGUGGCGAAGGCGGGUCUCUGGACAGUUCCUGACGCUGAGGCACGAAGGCCAGGGGAGCAAACGGG
RNAcentral lists this ribosomal RNA (253 nucleotides) under uncultured bacterium. RNAcentral's name for it is "partial 16S ribosomal RNA". It matches the Rfam family "Bacterial small subunit ribosomal RNA", at positions 524 to 776 of the family's 1533-position model. The record is from RNAcentral.